AAGAUUCUUAAAUGGGUGUGGACUUUUUUAUUUUUAUAAUAAUGUUCUUUUGUGGGUAGUUAUUUUAUAGCUGUAAAACAAAAACUGAUUUAAAAAUUAAGGACAAAGUUACAAAAGCAAUGAAAGUUAAGUUGUUAAAGUUAUGGACAAGUGGCAUUGUUUUACUGAUACCAAUAGCCACUCCCAACAUAAAUAAGUUGCUAUAGCAGCUGCUGUAUCAUUGUGUCUCAUGAUCAUCCAGCAUCCUUUCCACUGUCCCUUCAUUCAUGCUUCUGUGCAGUUUUCUUGAAACUGCAGUGCCACUUAGUUUUACUGGGCAUGAACUCAGCCUACACCUGUCCCUUUCUCUUUGGCCAGUGAAAAUGACUGUAGUUAUUAGUUGACGUUCACAGAGUACAUUUUAAUUGCUGUUAUUAUUAUUGUUGUUGUUGUUUUGAGACAAAGUCAUACUCUAUCGCCCAGGCUGGAGUCAGUGGCAUGAUCAUAGCUCACUGCAGCCUCAAGCUCCAAGCUCAAGUGAUCCUCCUGCCUCAGCCUCCAAAGUAGGUGGGACUACAGGUACACAUCACCAUGCCCAGUUAAUUUUAAAAAAAAUAUUUUUGAGAGAUGAGGUCUCACUAUGUUGCCUAGGCUGAUCUCAAACUCCUGGGCUUAAGUGAUCCUCCGACCUCACCCUCCCAAAGUGUUGGGAUUACAGGUAUGAACCACUGUGCCUGGCCCAUAGCAGCAUUUAUAAUAGCAAAAAAACCAGAUAUCACCCAAAUGUUAAUUGACUAAAUAAAUCAUGGUGUAUUUAUAUAAUAGAAUACUGUACAAAGAUGAGAAUUAAUGAACCACAGAUAUAUUCCAAAAUACAGGUUCAUUUUAGAAGCAUAAUGUUUGCCAAAAAGUGAGUCACAAAAAGCGAUGUAUAAUAUACCCCUUCUCUAGAACUCAAAGCAGACACAUUGCCACCCUAGGGUCUUGGCGUUGGUCAUUUCCUGUACCUGGAACAUUUGUCUCCCACACUUCUGCAAAGCUUAUUCCUUUACCUCUCUCAGAUCUUUGCUAAAAUGGCACCACUGACCCUUCUGUGUAAAGUCACAAUCCUAGUGUACGCAAUCCCUCUCACUUCCCUCUACUUUCUCUAUUUUCCACAGCACACCAUAGCACCAUCAUCUUCUAACAGCAUCUGCUGUAUUUAUUUUGUGGAUGGUUUACUGACAGUCUCCCCAGGUAGAAACACAAGUUCUAGGAGAGUAAGGCUCUUUGUUUUAUUCAGGUACAUCUUAAAUGACUAGAACCCUGCUUACACAAAACAGGCACUCAAUACAUAUUAUAUAUAUUUUUCUUUUUUUUUUUUGGCAGAGUCUCACUCUGUCACCCAGGCUGGAGUGCAGUGGUGCUAUCUUGGCUUACUGCAACCUCCACCUCCGGGGUUCAAGCGGUUCUCCUGCUUCAGCCUCCUGAGUAGCUGGGAUUACAGGCGCCCACCACCACACCCGGCUAAUUUUUGUAUUUUUAAUAGAGACAGGGUUUCACCAUCUUGGCCAGGCUGGUCUUGAACUCCUGACCUCAAGUGAUCUGCCUGCCUUGGCCUCCCAAAGUGCUGGGAUUACAGGCGUGAGCCACCUUGCCUGGCCUCAAUACAUAUUUUUACCCUCUUCCUGCCUGCCACUUCUACCUCACUGCCUCAGCUUAGUGUCUUAUGAAGACUACCAAUGGUUGUUAUACCACAUGUAUUCAGGAGCAGUUGACAUAAUGUAACUUUUGCCUGGUGGCCUACAGAAGUUUACCCAUCCAUUUAUUCAUUCAUCUGAACCACACUUGUGUGAAUGAAGCAGACAAAUAGGUGAUGAGGCCAUAAAGAAAUUCCUUGUGGCAUGGGAUCUGGCCAGUCCCUUACACAUGAGAGGCUGUCACUGAGGGCCCUUCUGGAUGAGAUCAUCAUAGAUGAUGUCUACACAACCACACAUCACUUUCAUCACUACGUAAAUCAAAGCCAUCAUUCAUGUUACAUUGCUAAGGCUGCCUCUUGCUGAAAAUGUGACCACUUGAGCAUCAAUAAGAACACAAAUAGCAACGGAAGAAAACACAUUCCUCUGUUUAAGUCCAUUCCUUCAUACCGAUACUCAAAACCAAGAGCAAUAUCUACUGCAACAAAUUGAGACGGGAUUGUUCCCUUGACCUUGACAUGCUUUGUAGGCGGGAACUGGAGUGGCGCAUUUCACUCAGCCCGCUGCUGGCCACUCCUCGCGAGAGGGAGCGUGUGAGCAGGGAUCAGCACAAAUGAAACAGACAUGGUCACCUCCCAGGGAGGACUUGAGGACAGUGGGAGGCACUCCCUCCAGCCAUGGUUCUGACAGCACCAGGCAGGCUGGGAAGGGCACCUCUGCUGAACAACCGUGUGCUCAAGGCCGCACAAUUCAUUCUUUCAAGUCCCACAUCUACUUCACCUUGUUUUAAGGGAUGAUGGUAUAAAUAAGAGCUACAGUAGCAGCCACAGAAGGAAAGCAGGGUGGAAAUGCAUUCUGGAUGGUCCUCUAAAGUAAAAAUAAAUAAGAACUCUGUGUCGUUGAAUAAAUCCUCUCUUCUCUCAUGCGCCCUGCACUUCCAUAGGCUGGGCAGUUCGUGCUUGGAAAGAUGCUCAGCCCAGACGUGAAGUGUCUGGCCCCCACUGGUGCCGUUUUUGGAGAAAGCCAGUGAACAGGGGGCCACUCCUGCACUGGGGCUUGGAUCUCUGGUGGAACCUGAUUCUGAGGAUUUCAUAGCUGUUUCCUCUCAUCCUCAUUUGUUUCCUUUCUUUCUUUCUUUUUUUUUUUUUUUUUUUUUUUUUUGAGAUGGAGUCUCGCUCUGUCACCCAGGCUGGAGUGCAGUGGCGCGAUCUUGG
RNAcentral lists this long non-coding RNA (2869 nucleotides) under Homo sapiens (human). Its description in RNAcentral is "HSALNT0100282". The record is from RNAcentral. Lineage: Eukaryota; Metazoa; Chordata; Mammalia; Primates; Hominidae.